Molecule: non-coding RNA, 28 nt
Filed under: Mus musculus (house mouse)
Lineage: Eukaryota; Metazoa; Chordata; Mammalia; Rodentia; Muridae
Source: RNAcentral
UAGCAAUGAAAGGGUGGCAUUAAACAGC